Molecule: non-coding RNA, 763 nt
Organism: Cucurbita pepo subsp. pepo (vegetable marrow)
Lineage: Eukaryota; Viridiplantae; Streptophyta; Magnoliopsida; Cucurbitales; Cucurbitaceae
Source: RefSeq, a predicted model, not a curated record
AUCAUAUUUCUUUGCAAGAUUUCAGCCUUUAUCACUCAUGAUAUCCGGACCACUAACUCGGAACGAGGAAGAAGGAAGGAGAAAAGAGUGGAGUAAGAGAAGCGAAAGACACUUUUCAACUAGCUCAAACCCACCUGUUAGAGUAAACCCACCUGUUAGAGUAGCAAGCUGGUUACCGCUUGAAGUCGAAGGCGGGAAAGGGGUAAUGCUUAGAGGAUUGGACGGGCUUGCUUAUCUUAGUCGCCCCGCCUAAGGUGGGUACACGGGAGGGUGAAGGCGAAACAAAAAUCACGGGAGGGUGAAGGUGAAACAAAAAUAGAAUGGACUGAUUCGCCUUCCUUCAAAUAUUGGACCGGGAAAAAAAAGGGGAGAAAGUAAAGCCUUUCGCAUCUCAUAUUCACUUUGAUUUGAGAAUAAUUUUUUUACUCCAAAAGUUGGUUGGCCCCAAAAAGAAAGAGAAUCUCAUCCAUUAGAGGAUUAUCUUCUUUGUUACAUUUGUCAAACUUAUACCAACGAGAAAGUGAUCGCAUUUAUUUCCAAGGGGUAAAACCAUUAUUUAACACCCUCAAACUCUGUCUUUAAAAGUAAAAAUCAUCAUAUUUUUUGGACUAUAUCUGCUGCUGGUCAUCAAUACCAACUACAUUAUUGAAUGAAACCAUUGUGUACACGGAAGAGAUAUGGACUCUCUCCUGCAACUAUACAACACAAAAUGACAACAAGCUUUCUUUCGUCACCCUGCUCUUAAAGUCUUCUUAACCAAUCA